CGGCGGCCGAAGGCCUCGGCCAGGAGCACGAAGGGGCGGAGGGGCCCGACCGGCGGGAGACUUCAGCGAGAGGGCAGCCUGCGUCAGGGCCGGGUCCCCAGGGACCAGAACUGAGUUUCACUGUGGCCGAAGGAGAGCAAAGGAGGGGGAAACGGACGGUGGCGAGCAAGACAGGCGACGACCUGCUGCUGUGAACAGGGAGCCGCGGAGUAGCACCCCUGAGCGACGUCCACCAUAGGGACGUCCACCACCCGGACCGAGAAGGCGCCGCCCGUCCUCGCCCGCGCGGCGCCGUGACCGUCCAGUGGUCAGUACUCUGCGCUGUGGCCGCAGCAACCUCGCUUCGAAUCCGAGUCACGGCCGGCCCUGCACUCACGUGGCCCCCCUUGUCUUUCAAUCCUCACCGCCGCAUCCAGUGCCAAACUUGCAGGUGGCUCCGGAGCUCUCUGGUCUGGAGGAAGAAAGGAAGCCCCGUCCUUGGCCAGGGCUCGGUCAGCAGAGAACCCGAGGAUUGAGGUGCUGCCUCUGAUGCAGUGGUUGUGGUCGACCUCCUUUUUCUGGUUCACAUAUUGCAGUCAUCCGUGGGGUCGUUUUAGACCAAAUAAGAAACGAGAUGAGAUUUGCACUCCAACGAGGCUUUGGAAACAAGGUCGAAUAACCAUAGUAAGUGAAUGACGUUCCCCAACCAAGUGUGUGUGUGUGUGUGUGUGUGUGUGUGUGUCGGGGGUGGGGGGACAAUAAAAACCGCAGCUCACAGAUUAAAUUGCACCCAUCCUCAGUGCAUGGCCCCGUGGAUCGAGUCCAACAGGAACCCUCGUCUAGAGCAAGUGACAGAAAAUUGCCAUCAGCUCAGGAAGUCCGUGGAGUCUGUUUUCCGCCCAUCCCCACAACCUCACUGAAGGGAAUCACCACUGUGUUUUCUAUCUCCAGGGUUAGUUUUGCUUUAUUCUUGAAAUUCUCGAUCAAAUACCAUACUUUUUGGCCAGUGGUUUGCAUUUGGGUUGUUUUUUUGUUUAAUGCAGCAUAAAGUUUCUGCCAUGCAUCCAUUUGUUGUCAGGAUCAGUGUUUUGGUAUUGUCCCAAAAUGUGAAUAUAGUAAAGUGGAUGGAGACCGGUUAUGUCUAGUUGCAGCCCUGGAGAAGAAGGUGG
Molecule: transfer RNA, 1148 nt
Filed under: Marmota monax (woodchuck)
Lineage: Eukaryota; Metazoa; Chordata; Mammalia; Rodentia; Sciuridae
Rfam family: tRNA (bases 291-362)
Source: RNAcentral